CGUGCCUAAUACAUGCAAGUCGAACGGUCUUUCUAUGGAAGCUUGCUUCCACUGAGAAGAUAGUGGCGAACGGGUGAGUAACACGUGGGUAACCGUGCCCAGUAAGAGGGGGGAUAACAUCCGGAAACGGGUGCUAAUACCGCAUAGUUUUCUUGAUCGCAUGAUCGGGAAAGGAAAGACGGCCUUUGUGCUGUCGCUUAUGGAUGGACCCGCGGCGUAUUAGUUAGUUGGUGAGGUAACGGCUCACCAAGACGAUGAUACGUAGCCGACCUGAGAGGGUGAUCGGCCACAUUGGGACUGAGACACGGCCCAAACUCCUACGGGAGGCAGCAGUAGGGAAUCUUCCGCAAUGGACGAAAGUCUGACGGAGCAACGCCGCGUGAGUGAAGAAGGUUUUCGGGAAUCGUAAAACUCUGUUGUCAGAGAAGAACAAGUUGGAGAGUAACUGCUCCAGCCUUGACGGUAUCUGACCAGAAAGCCACGGCUAACUACGUGCCAGCAGCUGC
Molecule: ribosomal RNA, 506 nt
Filed under: uncultured bacterium
Lineage: Bacteria
Description: bacterial SSU rRNA
Rfam family: Bacterial small subunit ribosomal RNA
Source: RNAcentral